Molecule: ribosomal RNA, 1037 nt
Filed under: uncultured Lactobacillus sp.
Lineage: Bacteria; Bacillati; Bacillota; Bacilli; Lactobacillales; Lactobacillaceae
Description: bacterial SSU rRNA
Rfam family: Bacterial small subunit ribosomal RNA
Source: RNAcentral
GCGUGCCUAAUACAUGCAAGUCGAUGCGAGCGUGAACCAACGGAUUCAAUUCGGUGAUGACGUUAAAGGGAACGCGUAGCGGCGGGAUGUCAGGUCAGCAGUUAACAUCGUGGGGCUCAACCUGCCCCAUAGUCUGGGAUACCACUUGGAAACUGGUGUUCUAAUGACCGGAUAAGAAAAAUGCAGAAUCGGCAUGAUCAGCUUAUAAAAGGCGGCGUUAAGCUGUCGCUAUGGGAUGGCCCCCGCGGUGCAUUAGCUAGUUGGUAGGGUAACGGCCUACCAAGGCAAUGAUGCAUAGCCGAGUUGAGAGACUGAUCGGCCACAUUGGGACUGAGACACGGCCCAAACUCCUACGGGAGGCAGCAGUAGGGAAUCUUCCACAAUGGAUGAAAGUCUGAUGGAGCAACGCCGCGUGAGUGAAGAAGGUUUUCGGAUCGUAAAGCUCUGUUGUUGGUGAAGAAGGAUAGAGGUAGUAACUGGCCUUUAUUUGACGGUAAUCAACCAGAAAGUCACGGCUAACUACGUGCCAGCAGCCGCGGUAAUACGUAGGUGGCAAGCGUUGUCCGGAUUUAUUGGGCGUAAAGCGAGCGCAGGCGGAAGAAUAAGUCUGAUGUGAAAGCCCUCGGCUUAACCGAGGAACUGCAUCGGAAACUGUUUUUCUUGAGUGCAGAAGAGGAGAGUGGAACUCCAUGUGUAGCGGUGGAAUGCGUAGAUAUAUGGAAGAACACCAGUGGCGAAGGCGGCUCUCUGGUCUGCAACUGACGCUGAGGCUCGAAAGCAUGGGUAGCGAACAGGAUUAGAUACCCUGGUAGUCCAUGCCGUAAACGAUGAGUGCUAAGUGUUGGGAGGUUUCCGCCUCUCAGUGCUGCAGCUAACGCAUUAAGCACUCCGCCUGGGGAGUACGACCGCAAGGUUGAAACUCAAAGGAAUUGACGGGGGCCCGCACAAGCGGUGGAGCAUGUGGUUUAAUUCGAAGCAACGCGAAGAACCUUACCAGGUCUUGACAUCUAGUGCAAUCCGUAGAGAUACGGAGUUCC